Molecule: ribosomal RNA, 1341 nt
Filed under: human gut metagenome
Description: bacterial LSU rRNA
Rfam family: Bacterial large subunit ribosomal RNA
Source: RNAcentral
AGAGUGCGUAAUAGCUCACUGGUCGAGUGAUCCUGCGCCGAAAAUUUCCGGGGCUAAAACGUACUACCGAAGCUACGGCAUCAUUUAUGAUGGGUAGGGGAGCUUCGUAUGCAGGCUGAAGCAUGACCGUAAGGACAUGUGGACAGUAUACGAGUGAGAAUGUUGGCAUGAGUAGCGAGACGUGGGUGAGAAUCCCACGGGCCGUAAACCCAAGGUUUCCAGGGGAAGGUUCGUCCGCCCUGGGUUAGUCGGGACCUAAGCCGAGGCCGAAAGGCGUAGGUGAUGGACAACAGGUUGAUAUUCCUGUACCGCCAAUAAGCGUUUGAGAGAUGGAGUGACACAGUAGGAUAAGCUAACCGUACUGUUGGUUAUGUACGGCUAAGCAUUGAGGCAGUCUAAAUAGGCAAAUCCGUUUAGACAAUGCUAGGAUGUGAUGGGGAAGCCCUUCGGGGCGAAGUAGCUGAUUUCACACUGUCAAGAAAAGCUUCUAUCGAGUUUAAAGGCGCCCGUACCGUAAACCGACACAGGUGGGUGAGGAGAGUAUCCUAAGGCCAGCGAGAGAACUAUUGUUAAGGAACUCGGCAAAAUGACCCCGUAACUUAGGGAGAAGGGGUGCCUGUCUAUGACAGGCCGCAGAGAAUAGGCCCAAGCGACUGUUUACCAAAAACACAGGUUUCUGCUAAGUCGCAAGACGAUGUAUAGGAGCUGACGCCUGCCCGGUGCUGGAAGGUUAAGGGGAUCUGUUAGAGCAAUCGAAGCAGUGAACUUAAGCCCCAGUAAACGGCGGCCGUAACUAUAACGGUCCUAAGGUAGCGAAAUUCCUUGUCGGGGAAGUUCCGACCCGCACGAAAGGCGUAACGAUUUGGGCACUGUCUCAACAACAGACUCGGUGAAAUUGUAAUACCGGUGAAGAUGCCGGUUACCUGCGACAGGACGGAAAGACCCCAUGGAGCUUUACUGUAGCUUGACAUUGAGUCUCGGUGCUACAUGUACAGGAUAGGUGGGAGACUAUGAAGCAUGGACGUCAGUCUGUGUGGAGUCAUCCUUGGGAUACCACCCUUGUAGUACUGGGAUUCUAACCAGAGGCCAUGAAUCUGGUCUUGGGACACUGUCAGGUGGACAGUUUGACUGGGGCGGUCGCCUCCCAAAAAGUAACGGAGGCGCUCAAAGGUUCUCUCAGUACGGUCGGAAAUCGUACGAAGAGUGUAAAGGCAAAAGAGAGCUUGAUUGCAAGACAUACAGGUCGAGCAAGGACGAAAGUCGGACUUAGUGAUCCGGUGGUUCCGCAUGGAAGGGCCAUCGCUCAACGGAUAAAAGCUACCCUGGGGAUAACAGGCUGAU